CACUAAAUUUAUUUCUAUAUUCGAUAUAAACUUGUUUAUUAGGUUUUUAGUUUGUGAUGUUUCAUGUGAUGAUCAUUUUCAUGUUCAUCGUCUUUGAAUUGACAUGAGGAUAUCUAUGGAAAAGUAACUAAUCUGAAAGUAAGCCAACAUAUCGUUUGUCCUUUGUGUGCUAAAGAAAAGAUUUUCUUUUCGCAUCGUGAGGAAGUAUUACAUCAAUUAAAAAAUGUUAGGAAGUUGAUUACUUGUCAUGGAAAAGUAUACCAAUGGAAAUUAUUUGUUAAAGAAGUAUAAUUCUAAGGGUUUUAAGAAUAAAUUGGUUGAACCCAAAAUCUGGAGGAAGUACCUAUAUCCAUACACAGAAUAUGCCCAUUAAGAAUACUAGUCCAAAUUUGCUUUAAUGGAACGAUUAGGGCCCGAUAUAUUUGAAACUCAUGUUGGACAUAGUAUUGAGUUGGGUAGAAUAUUAUUCUACGUUAAGUGAGGAUAUCAGAUACCUAUUAUUGUACUGUAUUUUAAUAUAUACAUUAGAAUUGUUGGUUUUUUCAUAUUUGUUUUAUAUAUUAUUUUACUUACAAGUUAUAUAAAGUUAACACUAAAAUCUACUUUUUGACUUAUAUAAGUUAGUCUGUGGUUUAAUGCGUGAUUACAUCCACAUUAUGAUUUCAAGUUUUUAAAAUAUAAAUAUUAUAACUGGCUUUAAAAACUCCAUUAAACUGUUAAAAGUGUAAUUUAUUUCAAAAUAAAUAUACAUAUACCUAUACCUAGGUAUAUAUUAAUAUCGAAAAAUAUAUAUUAAUAUC
RNAcentral lists this long non-coding RNA (800 nucleotides) under Sitophilus oryzae (rice weevil). Its description in RNAcentral is "uncharacterized LOC115889502". The record is from RNAcentral. Lineage: Eukaryota; Metazoa; Arthropoda; Insecta; Coleoptera; Curculionidae.